CCCCUAGUCUCAUUUUGCAAGCCAACAAUGCCAGAAACAGCAUAUUUACAAACAUUGAGAAUAUCUCUCACUUCACCGCCAGAAUUCAAUAUUUGAUUUCUAGGCUGCAAGUCAAAACAGUUUUUGGACUUUCCAUUGACCUCUAAAAGCAGAAACAAAUUAGAACAGAUCUCCUGGUCUAUAAGCCACAACCGUGAGGCUAAAUUCUGUAUUAACAUUCCUUGUAAAUAGUUCGUUGAGCUUUGCAGAUCACAUGGAGCUAAAAUUUCAUAGUCAGGCAACUUUGAAAUGAAAAG
RNAcentral lists this unclassified non-coding RNA (296 nucleotides) under Hevea brasiliensis (rubber tree). Lineage: Eukaryota; Viridiplantae; Streptophyta; Magnoliopsida; Malpighiales; Euphorbiaceae. The record is from RNAcentral.